Non-coding RNA from Pelobates cultripes (western spadefoot toad), 529 nucleotides. NCBI's taxonomy places the organism in Eukaryota, Metazoa, Chordata, Amphibia, Anura, Pelobatidae. The record is from the annotation of a GenBank genome assembly.
GUGAGGGAUUGUGUGUGUGUAUGACUGUGUGUGUGUCUGACUGUGUGUGUGUUUGUGCAGGGCCGGCGCGUCCAUAAGGCGGCACAGGCAGCCGCCUUAGGGCGCACCUACUCAGGGGGCGCAAAAUUCCAGUGACCGGCAGGAGGGAACUGCUCCCUCCUGCCAGGUCACCUCCUGGAUCCCCGGUGCGGCGUGCGACUGAAUUGGAUGCCGAGGUGGCGAGGGAGCUCUGAUCUCUCUGAUCUGCUCCCUCGCAGGCUGUUUACUGAUGACGUCAUAUUCCGGCUCCCGCGUGUUAAGAGGCACAUGGGCGAAUAUGUUUUUGGGGGGGCGGAAAAAUGCAUCUUCGCCUAUGUACCCCAAAUUCUUUGCACUGGCCCUGUGUUUGUGUCUGACUGUGUGUUUGUGUCUGACUGUGUGUGUGUUUGUGUCUGACUGUGUGUGUGUGUGUGUGUGUUUGUGUCUGACUGUGUUUGUGUCUGUGUAUGUGUCUGACUGUGUGUGUGUGUGUGUCUAACUGUGUGUGUGU